RNAcentral lists this ribosomal RNA (253 nucleotides) under uncultured bacterium. Its description in RNAcentral is "partial 16S ribosomal RNA". It matches the Rfam family "Bacterial small subunit ribosomal RNA", at positions 524 to 776 of the family's 1533-position model. The record is from RNAcentral.
UACGUAGGGGGCCAGCGUUGUCCGGAAUUAUUGGGCGUAAAGAGCGUGUAGGCGGUCCGGUAAGUCAGCUGUGAAAGUCAAGGGCUCAACCCUUGAAAGCCGGUUGAUACUGUCGGGCUAGAGUCCGGAAGAGGCGAGUGGAAUUCCCGGUGUAGCGGUGAAAUGCGCAGAUAUCGGGAGGAACACCAAUGGCGAAGGCAGCUCGCUGGGACGGUACUGACGCUGAGACGCGAAAGCGUGGGGAGCAAACAGG